RNAcentral lists this transfer RNA (68 nucleotides) under Rattus norvegicus (Norway rat). It matches the Rfam family "tRNA". Rfam says of the family: Transfer RNA (tRNA) molecules are approximately 80 nucleotides in length. Their secondary structure includes four short double-helical elements and three loops (D, anti-codon, and T loops). Further hydrogen bonds mediate the characteristic L-shaped molecular structure. tRNAs have two regions of fundamental functional importance: the anti-codon, which is responsible for specific mRNA codon recognition, and the 3' end, to which the tRNAs corresponding amino acid is attached (by aminoacyl-tRNA synthetases). tRNAs cope with the degeneracy of the genetic code in two manners: having more than one tRNA (with a specific anti-codon) for a particular amino acid; and 'wobble' base-pairing, i.e. permitting non-standard base-pairing at the 3rd anti-codon position. Lineage: Eukaryota; Metazoa; Chordata; Mammalia; Rodentia; Muridae. The record is from Rfam by way of RNAcentral.
GGGGACUUAGCUCAGUGGUAGAGCACUUGCCUAGCAAGCACAAGGCCCUGGGUUCGGUCCCCAGCUCA